ACUCCAUGAUGAGGACAAGACCUACUAUAACAUUUCAAUCUUUCCCAAGUUUCAUAGAGUGCCUCGUUCGGACCUUGCUUGAAGCUUGUAAUGUCAUUCCUAAUCCG
Small nucleolar RNA from Arabis alpina (gray rockcress), 107 nucleotides. It matches the Rfam family "Plant small nucleolar RNA R71". From Rfam's summary of the family: R71 is a member of the C/D box family of snoRNAs containing the C (UGAUGA) and D (CUGA) box motifs. Multiple nearly identical copies of this snoRNA have been identified in Arabidopsis, and it is thought to function as a 2'-O-ribose methylation guide for 18S ribosomal RNA. The record is from Rfam. NCBI's taxonomy places the organism in Eukaryota, Viridiplantae, Streptophyta, Magnoliopsida, Brassicales, Brassicaceae.